Molecule: ribosomal RNA, 838 nt
Filed under: uncultured Bacillus sp.
Lineage: Bacteria; Bacillati; Bacillota; Bacilli; Caryophanales; Bacillaceae
Description: bacterial SSU rRNA
Rfam family: Bacterial small subunit ribosomal RNA
Source: RNAcentral
AGUUGUAUCCUGGCUCAGGACGAACGCUGGCGGCGUGCCUAAUACAUGCAAGUCGAGCGGAGAAAUGGGAGCUUGCUCCCAUUUCUCAGCGGCGGACGGGUGAGUAACACGUGGGCAACCUGCCCUGCAGACUGGGAUAACUCCGGGAAACCGGAGCUAAUACCGGGUAAUACGUAGCAUCGCAUGAUGCAACGUUGAAAGUUGGCUUUCGAGCUAACACUGUAGGAUGGGCCCGCGGCGCAUUAGCUAGUUGGUAAGGUAACGGCUUACCAAGGCCACGAUGCGUAGCCGACCUGAGAGGGUGAUCGGCCACACUGGGACUGAGACACGGCCCAGACUCCUACGGGAGGCAGCAGUAGGGAAUCUUCCGCAAUGGACGAAAGUCUGACGGAGCAACGCCGCGUGAGUGACGAAGGCCUUCGGGUCGUAAAGCUCUGUUGUUAGGGAAGAACAAGUACCGUUCGAAUAGGGCGGUACCUUGACGGUACCUAACCAGAAAGCCACGGCUAACUACGUGCCAGCAGCCGCGGUAAUACGUAGGUGGCAAGCGUUGUCCGGAAUUAUUGGGCGUAAAGCGCGCGCAGGCGGUCUCUUAAGUCUGAUGUGAAAGCCCACGGCUCAACCGUGGAGGGCCAUUGGAAACUGGGGGACUUGAGUGCAGAAGAGGAGAGUGGAAUUCCACGUGUAGCGGUGAAAUGCGUAGAUAUGUGGAGGAACACCAGUGGCGAAGGCGGCUCUCUGGUCUGUAACUGACGCUNANGCGCGAAAGCGUGGGGAGCGAACAGGAUUAGAUACCCUGGUAGUCCACGCCCGUAAACNAUGAGUGCUAGGUGUUNGG